Molecule: long non-coding RNA, 1305 nt
Filed under: Monodelphis domestica (gray short-tailed opossum)
Lineage: Eukaryota; Metazoa; Chordata; Mammalia; Didelphimorphia; Didelphidae
Description: lncRNA (ENSMODG00000044903.1)
Source: RNAcentral
AACCUAAGCUUUGACAGAAGAAACAGGGCACAAACACACAUGAAACAACAGGGAACAAUGCAAGGCAAAAUAUAAUUAAGUGCUAAAUUGUGUGGUACAGGACUAUAAACCCUCCAAAUGUUUGCUGAAAUGGAAUGACUGGCCUGGCUCUGCCACUAAAGUCACACUCACCAGACAUUUCCAUUCUGUAUUAAGUACCUCCAGUGCAAAGGGCUGGAAAUUGCCCCUGUCAACAAGAAACGGAUAUCCUUGGUGGUUCCGAUGCCUUGUAGUUCAUUUAAAGGAGCUGGACUUGUGGUUGAUAAGGUAGGCAUUAUUAUCCAAACUAUAUUACACGCACAGUCAUAGAUAUCAGAGAUGAGACUUGAACUCGGUCAUUCUAGCUCCUAGCCACUAAACCAGCUACCGCUCUUCUUUGGCAGAAGGGGAUCCUUGCCUUCCUUCUAGGACACCGAAGAAACCCACCUGCCUCAUGGUGUGUCGUCAUGACCAUUAACACACAUUAAAUGCACCCUAGGUCAAGUCGCAGUGGGGGGAAGGGGGGAGCUUAAGACCUUUUGGAAAUGAAGAAGUGUCAGAUGCUUCCUACCUUUUAGGAGCUUACAAUGUAGUAGGGGGAGGGCGAGCUAAUGUAAAAGCCAUGAGUAAGACCAUGGAGUCUGUAUUGGCAAUAGUGGGAAAGGGAUUUAUUUGGGCAGCUAGGAUGAGGUCUAUUUCCCAUCUUCCCCGGACCAACUAGAGUAGAGAGCCUGGUAAACCAACCCCAGCCUCUCCUCUGAGGAUGUUCACCUCCAGCUGUGCACAAGUCAAGGAUUGUGUGACUCAAGGUUGCUUGCCCAACUGUGGCCAGUGGCUAAGAGCUAGCUUUUGACCUCAAGUUCCCGGCUUUUGAAAUCUCUCUGGCUAUGGUUGCAGGUGAUGCUCCCCCACAGCCUUUUUUAGCUUUCAUGGUGGCUGAGUGGAUGAACUUGGAGUCCAGAAUUUGAGUUGGAAUCCCAGAACACCCUCCCUGAACCUUGCUUUCCUCAUCGCUCUGCAAGAUACCUUCUAGCUGUCAGUUUCAAGAAUCUACCAUUGCUUCGGAGCUCUCCUCCUGACUUUCAGGCUUUGGAGAGUGGUCCCCAAGCGCUCCGGGCCAAGUUCGCGGCGCGACGACGGCCAUGGCGGCAGCGGCGUCCUGAGCUCGUCGCGUCCGGGCCUCCAGCGGCAGCGGCGGCAGGGACAGGCGGGCGCAGCGGGGACAGCGGGCGCGGGGGCCGGGGCGACGGCGGUGGCGGCGGGGACAGCGGCGGCGGUGGGGACGGC